GGGCGGCCGCUCUCCGUCGCGCUAACUCCGCCGCCGCCGCAGUGCUGCCAGUCAUCUUCCCUUCGAAGGACUGAUUCUGGCGCGCCGGUGUGACGGAGAGGCGAGGCGGCGCAGGGCAGGGUGUGGAUUGAAUCUGGCGCCAUCGUCCGUCCCCGAUUCGCCCUCACCGCAGGCAGGGCAGGUACACAGAUCCCUUUCCUUCCGUGAUUGCUACUAGAUGCGAAUUGAUUUGGGUAGGUGUUCACCACCGAUCUCGUCUGAUCUGGCCGUCGUCUCCGUCACGCCACCAGAUUGCUAAUCGUUUUCGGAAUCCAACUCCUCCCCUCCCUCCAAUUCCAAUUCCGAUUCUAACACUGAGAUUUUGCAGGGCGGCAGGGCCAUCAUAUAAUAAAUUCAAGGCUCGAUCUUUCUGCCGAAACUCUUCAAGGACGCUUGAUUGGUGAACACAGAGGCAGAGCUGCAGCAGGAGGAGGAUUAGAUAGAUUACUCUGUUAUUACUAUUAGGUCUUCUGUCAAAUCGCAGUGGGGAUGUCUAAUAAGCGCCGGGGAUAUGCCGGCGACGGCGGUGAAAAGAGGUCGCGGCGGAUCAAGCAUCUGUACCUCGUGUUGGAUGACUGGACCAAGGGGUACAGCAUCCACAAGAUCCAAGCCGACAGCUUCGACUCUGACUCUGAUGACCAGCACAGCGGCGCUGCCCGGCACCUCCCGGAGCCUCCGACCCUGCGGUUAGAGUGCCCGGUUGGCACUGUACCCCAUCCCGGCAUGUCGUUCUCUGCCUUGGGCACCAAGAUCUUCACCUUCAUGAACCAGCGAUGCAGCCUCAUCUACGACACCAAGACGGCCGCAAUGACGAUUGGCGCCCAUGCCCCUGCUGACAUGGUCUGUGGCUUCGGCAUCACCGUGGUCGUUGAUGAGAUGCUCUAUGCAUUAUCUUACCACUUCCGCGUGAAACAACACUCCUUUGGGGUCAUGUCAUGGGGGUCCACCGCGCCGGAUGCGCUGCAACAACCAACCGAGGGCUGGUCCUGGAAGACUCUGCCGCCACCACCGCCAACGUUCCACCGCCGAGUCAACUCCUAUGCACUACACCCGGAUGGAUGCACCAUCUUUAUGUCCACAGCUAACUUCAUGACGGCACCUAGCAAAGGUUGCAUGGGCACCUACUCAUUCAACACCAAGGAUUCUGUGUGGAGAUGGCAUGGGGAGUGGGCCUUGCCAUUCAGCGGCCAAGCACACUUGGACAGGGAGCUCAACGCUUGGGUUGGCCUUGGGUGGGAUGGCUACAUCUCUGCUUGCCAAGUUGCCUCCCCCAGCUGCCACAGCACGACUCCAACACAAGAUUGGGUGGGAUUGGCAGCAACCUCGAUGAGUACGUUGAGAGGUUGA
RNAcentral lists this ribosomal RNA (1386 nucleotides) under Triticum aestivum (bread wheat). RNAcentral's name for it is "partial small subunit ribosomal RNA". The record is from RNAcentral. Lineage: Eukaryota; Viridiplantae; Streptophyta; Magnoliopsida; Poales; Poaceae.